UAAUACGAGAGGCCCAAACGUUAUUCGGAUUUACUGGGCUUAAAGAGUUCGUAGGCGGCGUGGAAAGUGGGGUGUGAAAGCCCUCGGCUCAACCGAGGAACUGCGCUCCAAACUAUCACGCUAGAGGGGGAUAGAGGUAAGCGGAACUGAUGGUGGAGCGGUGAAAUGCGUUGAUAUCAUCAGGAACACCGGAGGCGAAGGCGGCUUACUGGGUCCUUUCUGACGCUGAGGAACGAAAGCUAGGGGAGCAAACGGG
RNAcentral lists this ribosomal RNA (256 nucleotides) under uncultured bacterium. RNAcentral's name for it is "partial 16S ribosomal RNA". It matches the Rfam family "Bacterial small subunit ribosomal RNA", at positions 521 to 776 of the family's 1533-position model. The record is from RNAcentral.